GCACCAGGUUCCUGGUAGGCUGGAAGAGCAGCAGGACCAUGGACAGCUCACCCCUGGUCUCAGUCUUGCCUGCAAAGGCUGCUGAAGAGCCAUGUGCCUGGAUGGCUGGAAGAGCAGCAGGACCAUGGACAGUGUAAAGCUCUGGGCCUCUGCCUUUGGUGGGGAGAUCAAAUCCAUCGCAGCUAAAUACUCAGGUUCCCAGCUUCUGCAGAAGAAAUACAAAGAAUAUGAGAAGGAUGUUUCAAUAGAAGAAAUUGAUGGCCUUCAGCUUGUGAAAAAGCUAGCAAAAAGUAUGGAAGAAAUGUUUCAUAAAAAGUCUGAAGCUGUACGGCGUCUUGUUGAAGCUGCAGAGGAUGCUCACUUGAAACAUGAAUUUGAUGCUGAUUUACAGUAUGAAUACUUCAAUGCUGUUCUCAUAAAUGAACGAGAUGAAGAAGGAAACUUUUUAGAACUGGGGAAGGAGUUCAUUCUAGUGCCAAAUGACCACUUCAAUAAUUUGCCUGUGAACAUCAGCCUGAGUGACGUCCAAGUACCAACCAAUAUGUACAACAAAGAUCCAGCUAUCGUAAAUGGAGUCUUUUGGUCAGAAUCCUUAAACAAGGUGUUUGUCGAUAACUUUGACCGUGACCCUUCUCUCAUAUGGCAGUACUUUGGAAGUGCAAAGGGAUUUUUUAGACAGUAUCCAGGAAUUAAAUGGGAACCAGAUGAGAAUGGAGUUAUUGCAUUUGACUGCAGAAAUCGAAAAUGGUACAUACAGGCAGCUACUUCUCCAAAAGACGUGGUCAUUUUAGUUGAUGUCAGUGGCAGCAUGAAAGGACUCCGUCUGACAAUUGCUAAGCAAACCGUAUCAUCUAUUUUGGAUACCCUUGGAGAUGAUGACUUUUUCAACAUAAUUGCUUAUAAUGAAGAACUUCACUAUGUAGAACCGUGUCUGAAUGGAACAUUAGUACAAGCAGACAGAGCCAACAAAGAGCACUUCAGGGAACACCUCAACAAACUUUUUGCAAAAGGAAUUGGAAUGCUGGAUAUAGCUUUAAAUGAAGCUUUCAACAUUCUCAAUGAUUUCAAUCACACAGGACAAGGGAGUAUUUGCAGUCAAGCCAUAAUGCUGAUCACUGAUGGUGCUGUCGACACGUAUGAUACAAUAUUUGCAAAGUAUAAUUGGCCAGACAGGAAGGUUCGCAUGUUUACCUAUCUGAUCGGAAGAGAAGCUGCUUUUGCUGACAACCUCAAAUGGAUGGCCUGUGCUAACAAAGGGUUUUUUACUCAGAUCUCUACAUUAGCUGACGUGCAGGAGAACGUCAUGGAAUACCUCCAUGUUCUUAGCCGACCAAAGGUUAUUGAUCAAGAGCAUGAUGUGGUAUGGACUGAAGCAUAUAUCGACAGCACUCUUGCUGAUGAUCAGGGAUUGGUUUUGAUGACCACUGUUGCCAUGCCAGUAUUUAGUAAGCAAAAUGAGACUAGAUCCAAAGGGAUUCUUCUGGGAGUAGUUGGCACAGAUGUUCCAGUUAAAGAACUUCUAAAGGCCAUUCCAAAAUAUAAGUUAGGUAUUCAUGGAUAUGCUUUUGCAAUUACAAACAAUGGAUACAUUUUGACACAUCCAGAACUCAGACCAUUGUAUGAAGAAGGAAAAAAGCGAAGAAAACCCAACUACAGCAGUGUUGAUCUUUCUGAGGUUGAGUGGGAAGACAGAGAUGAUGUGCUUCGAAAUGCAAUGGUGAAUCGGAAAACAGGGAAAUUUUCUAUGGAGGUGAAGAAGACAGUGGACAAAGGGAAACGUGUAUUGGUGAUGACAAAUGACUACUAUUAUACAGACAUCAGGGGUACUCCUUUCAGUUUAGGUGUGGCUCUCUCUAGAGGACAUGGCAAAUAUUUCUUCAGAGGGAACGUAACUAUAGAAGAAGGUUUGCAUGAUUUAGAACACCCUGAUGUAUCUUUGGCAGAUGAAUGGUCAUAUUGCAACACUGACGUACAUCCUGAACACCAUCAAAUGGCUCAACUAGAAGCUAUUAAACUCUACCUCACAGGAAAAGAGCCAUUGCUUCAAUGUGAUAAAGAAUUGAUACAAGAAGUUCUGUUUGAUGCAGUGGUGAGUGCACCAAUAGAAGCUUAUUGGACCAGUCUAGCACUAAAUAAAUCAGAAAAUUCUGACAAGGGAGUGGAAGUUGCCUUUCUUGGAACCCGGACAGGUCUAUCUCGUAUCAACCUGUUUGUGGGACCAGAGCAACUUACUAAUCGAGACUUCCUGACAGCUGAAGACAAAGAGAAUAUUUUUAAUGCUGAUCAUUUUCCACUCUGGUACAGAAGAGCCGCCGAGCAGAUACCAGGCAGCUUUGUCUAUUCAAUCCCAUUUAGUACAGAAACAGCAAACAAAAGCAAUGUGGUGACAGCUAGUACUGCCAUUCAACUUUUAGAUGACAGAAAAUCUCCAGUGGUUGCAGCUGUCGGUAUCCAGAUGAAACUUGAAUUUUUCCAGCGGAAGUUUUGGACUGCCAGUAGACAGUGUCCGUCUCUUGAUGGAAGAUGUUCUAUAAGCUGUGAUGAUGAAGCAAUUAACUGCUACCUCAUAGAUAACAAUGGAUUUAUUUUAGUAGCUGAAGACUACAGACAGACUGGGAACUUUUUUGGUGAGAUCGAGGGGGCUGUGAUGAAUAAAUUGCUAACAAUGGGCUCCUUUAAAAGAAUUACACUUUAUGACUACCAGGCCAUGUGUAGAACAAACAAAGAGAGUAGCGACAGUGCCCAUAGCUUACUGGACCCUUAUAAUGCCUUCUUUGCUGCAGUAAAAUGGAUAAUGACUGAACUUGUCGUGUUCUUGGUGGAAUUUAAUUUGUGCAGUUGGUGGCACUCAGAUUUAACAGCAAAAGCACAGCGAUUGAAACAAACCCUAGAGCCUUGUGAUACUGAAUAUCCAGCUUUUGUUUCUGAACGCACUAUAAAGGAGACCACGGGAAACAUUGCUUGUGAUGACUGUUUCAAGUCCUUUGUCAUCCAGCAAAUCCCGAGCAGCAAUCUCUUCAUGGUGGUAGUAGAUAAUGAAUGCAACUGUGAGUCUAUCUUGCCAAUUACCAUGGAACCCAUAGAAAUAAGGGCUGGAGUGCUACACUGAAAGGUAUCUCUUUGUGUUCUGAAAAUAUAAAAAAUAGAUUCUGUAACUAAGUAAAUUGACAACUCUAUUUGUAGUCUAAACAUCAUUUUGUUUUAUUGCCAUACAAGAGUUUGGGGUUGUUUCUUCUCAUAAAUAGGAAUCCGCCAAAAAGAAUCUGCAGUAUAUUUUUAUUGCUGAGUGAUAGACCUUUCAAAGGACCAUUUGGUCAUAUGAAGUGCCGAUGGGAAUAAGAUUGGGAAGAAUAGCAAUAGAAUUAUGUCCCACUUCUUUUGUUGAUUGGUUGGAUUUUGGAGGAGUGGGAGGAGGAAGGGAUGGAUGGAUGAACUUCAUUUCAAAUCCAUUCAAACUUUGAAUAUUUAAAUGCAGUGAUCAUAAGAUCUCUCCUUAACUACUGUGAACAUAAUGAAUCCCUUAAAUGUGAACGUUUAAAAUCUCAGAAGAUUAGAAGACGUCCAGAAUCUUGUCAUGGAUUUCAUCCUGAAGAGAAUGCAAGAGAAUGUGGGGGUGUUCUAGGCCUUAGUGCUAAACCUAC
Mauremys mutica (yellowpond turtle) is the source of this 3641-nucleotide RNA transcript. It is a transcript of the gene named calcium voltage-gated channel auxiliary subunit alpha2delta 3, with no coding region annotated. The record is from RefSeq and is a predicted model, not a curated record. The transcript has 37 exons. Lineage: Eukaryota; Metazoa; Chordata; Testudines; Geoemydidae.